GCUGGGUGUAGUGGCUCACACCUGUAAUCCCAGCAUUUUGGGAGGCUGAGGUGGGUGGAUCACCUGAGGUCAGGAGUUCAAGACCAGCCUGGCCAACAUGGUGAAACCUCAUCUCUA
This is an unclassified non-coding RNA of Macaca mulatta (Rhesus monkey), 117 nucleotides long. It matches the Rfam family "Metazoan signal recognition particle RNA". From Rfam's summary of the family: The signal recognition particle (SRP) is a universally conserved ribonucleoprotein. It is involved in the co-translational targeting of proteins to membranes. The record is from Ensembl. Lineage: Eukaryota; Metazoa; Chordata; Mammalia; Primates; Cercopithecidae.